UUCCGGUUGAUCCUGCCGGACCUGACUGCUAUCGGAUUGAUACUAAGCCAUGCUAGUCUUUGCAGUAAUGCAAGGCAUACGGCUCAGUAACACGUAGUCAACUUACCCUAUGGACGAGGAUAAUCUCGGGAAACUGAGCAUAAUACUCGAUAGAUCAUAAUGCCUGGAAUGGUUAUGGUUAAAAUGAUUCGUCGCCAUAGGAUGGGACUGCGGCCUAUCAGCUUGUUGGUGAGGUAAUGGCCCACCAAGGCGAUUACAGGUACGGGCUCUGAGAGGAGAAGCCCGGAGAUGGGUACUGAGACAAGGACCCAGGCCCUAUGGGGCGCAGCAGGCGAGAAAACUUUGCAAUGUGCGAAAGCACGACAAGGUUAAUCCGAGUGAUUUCUGCUAAAGAAAUCUUUUGCAAGUCAUAAAACCACUAGUGAAUAAGGGGUGGGCAAGUUCUGGUGUCAGCCGCCGCGGUAAAACCAGCACCUCAAGUGGUCAGGAGGAUUAUUGGGCCUAAAGCAUCCGUAGCCGGCUCUGUAAGUUUUCGGUUAAAUCCAUGUGCUCAACGCAUGGGCUGCCGAAAAUACUGCAUAGCUAGGGAGUGGGAGAGGUAGACGGUACUCGGUAGGAAGGGGUAAAAUCCUUUGAUCUAUCGAUGACCACCUGUGGCGAAGGCGGUCUACCAGAACACGUUCGACGGUGAGGGAUGAAAGCUGGGGGAGCAAACCGGAUUAGAUACCCGGGUAGUCCCAGCUGUAAACGAUGCAGACUCGAUGAUGCAUUGGCAUAUAGCCAGUGCAGUGUCGCAGGGAAGCCGUUAAGUCUGCCGCCUGGGAAGUACGUACGCAAGUAUGAAACUUAAAGGAAUUGGCGGGGGAGCACCACAAGGGGUGAAGCCUGCGGUUCAAUUGGAGUCAACGCCGGG
RNAcentral lists this ribosomal RNA (913 nucleotides) under uncultured marine archaeon. RNAcentral describes it as "bacterial SSU rRNA". It matches the Rfam family "Archaeal small subunit ribosomal RNA", at positions 1 to 922 of the family's 1478-position model. The record is from RNAcentral.